RNAcentral lists this ribosomal RNA (468 nucleotides) under uncultured bacterium. RNAcentral's name for it is "partial 16S ribosomal RNA". It matches the Rfam family "Bacterial small subunit ribosomal RNA", at positions 28 to 507 of the family's 1533-position model. The record is from RNAcentral.
GACGAACGCUGGCGGCGUGCUUAACACAUGCAAGUCGAACGGAAAGGCCCUGCUUUUGUGGGGUUCUCGAGUGGCGAACGGGUGAUUAACACGUGAGUAACCUGCCCUUGACUUUGUGAUAACUUCAGGUAACUGGGGCUAAUACCGGAUAGGAGCUCCUGCUGCAUGGUGGGGGUUGGAAAGUUUCGGCGGUUGGGGAUGGACUCGCGGGUUAUCAGCUUGUUGGUGGGGUAGUGGCUUACCAAGGCUUUGACGGGUAGCCGGCCUGAGAGGGUGACCGGCAACAAUGGGACUGAGAUACGGACCAGACUCCAACGGGAGGCAGCAGUGGGGAAUAUUGCACAAUGGGCGGAAGCCUGAUGCAGCAACGCCGCGUGCGGGAUGACGGCCUUCGGGUUGUAAACCGCUUUCGCCUGUGACGAAGCGUGAGUGACGGUAAUGGGUAAAGAAGCACCGGCUAACUACGUG